Long non-coding RNA from Neodiprion virginianus, 2379 nucleotides. RefSeq lists it as uncharacterized. The transcript is spliced from 3 exons. NCBI's taxonomy places the organism in Eukaryota, Metazoa, Arthropoda, Insecta, Hymenoptera, Diprionidae. The record is from RefSeq and is a predicted model, not a curated record.
GUUUUAUCCUGGCAUGUUCAUCGAGGCAACCCCGAACUUUGAAUGCGAGUACUUGAGUGACACGGGCAUCUUUGCGUUCUGUUACUCAGAACAGUUACCCGUUGCGCAUUGCGUUCGCUCCUUGUACCGUGCCUUGGGGUUCAAUUGCCCCUCAGGGAACUACCCCUGCCGUCUCGGGCGUACAUUCUUUUCAUGUUCCGAGUUGCCUGAAUCAGUAAUUGACUCGUAGAUAUAACGGUCCCACGUCCCACGACCCGGGUCGCGAUACAGUCGAUAACAAUGGUGAUUUUUUCGAGAAUAUCGUCACAUUUUUUUUUUUCUUUUAUUAUUGAUUUUCCACCAGACCAUUAGUCGAAUUAAUUUUCUCGACGACAAAAUAUUGACUCCUUGAUCGAAGAAACCCUCCAUCCAUCAUGCAUGCAGAUCGAACGAUUCUUUCAAACCGACUGAAUUGUAAGAUCAUAUUCUCUGACCAACGUCCAUAAGACACGCCAAGUGAACGUGAAGCCGGAGUAUAGUUUUAAUUUCCCGGGAUCUACGGAGGCCGCGAAUUUAGUAAUAUUUCUCGGCACAUUUAUCGCGAAGCAUGCUUGGCUACCAACAACCUGAACAUAAACCGCCUCUCACCGGCCUUACACCGACACUUUGGCGAUCGUAAUACCUAUGGACGAAUGUGCAUAUAACUACCGUACACCAAUGACCAAACAGUUGGCUUCCACCUUGUGAGAUGUACAAAAAUGGACUUGGCAAACUGCGGCAAUCUCGAAAAAAAGGAAAACAGGGCCGUACCUUUUACUACGUUCGCAAAACGAAAGCAUGCUGUAGCCGCAAGAAGACGCGACUGGUAGAAUCAGCAUGAAAAUCAGAAUCGUUCACCUUUUAGGACAGCGUUAUCGGUUACUUUAGGGCGCGGUUCACAUUACUGUACGUCAGCGGGGAUUGGAAGGCUCAACAAGCCUUCGAAACGUUAUCAACUCGUGGAAUACGCUCCUCGGUGAGAUGAGGAUUUAUCAUCAGGCUUUCGAAAUGGCAAACGCACGAUUGGUGUACAAACGACAGAUACUGUUUUCCUCAAGUGACGUACAUUACAUAUUUGGAAAUUCGUCCCGUCGCGUGUCUCCGACGAAAUUUUCUCACAUCGAAAACUAUUAUUAUCCGAGGUCUGUAAAGGGAGUUGGCGUAAUAAUUGCACACACCAUAAUCCGUCAUUGAUUUUGUAAAACGCCAAAGUUCAUCCAUAUUUCGAAAUCUUCAGAAUGAACGGACAAGGGGCGCUUCCUGUCUCAUCCUACUUGUUCAGUUAUUCGGACACGUAUGAAACGUUUGUUUCUCUACAUUCGGUAACUGCGGGACACAACGAUUCUUGGCCGCCGAUCGUCGGGAUCGUUUGUACGCACCAUUCAUCGAUACCGCACUGGUCCUGAUAUUACAAAAAAACGUAACGAACGAAAAACCGUUGCCGUUGCUAGUGGAAGAGCCAAUGGAAUGAAUUGUGAUUCAAUGCGAAAGAAAGGACGGCUAACGAUUGAAUUUGGAAUGUCGCGGGCGCGGCUCUGCCAUCCGGUUAAAUACGCCGUUGGGAGCUCGUACAACGUUGAAUAACGUAGGUGAAUACAUUAUACAUAUCGUUAUUAUACAUUCAGGGCAGGACGCUGUCUAUCUCUUUCCCAUGUACUCGGCCGACAUCAACCGUUUGUUCGAACACAACGUAGGACCAUCCCGCGCACGCAAUGAAAAGCGAAAUUGCCGGAGGCGACAAUCGGUUGAGACAAUUUGGCACCGGUGUCUAUAAUAUGAAUUAUUCCAGCAUCUUUACCAUCAGGGGCGACCUUUCGGCACGCAACACACACGCGCACAAGCUGUGCCGUGUAAAAAAUGUGUAUACGCCUACGGUUGUGUAUACCAUCCUUGACCACUGAUCAAAACAACAUCGAGCUUUGUGCCGCUAUAGGCGUAUAAUCUCGACGUUCCAUCUGCGCACCGCUCUCACAUUUCUAUCGAAAAUAUCAUAUAGCUCACGGCGAUUGCUGUUCUAAUUCAUAUUGUACAGCUAUAUCGUAUCACUCUCCGUCGCGGCAACAUGCUGCGAGUGCCGAAUCUCGAUUCUCAUUUCACCUGUUCAACCGAACAACCGAUCUAAGUACGAUCCGAUCGAGAGGCCGACUGUUAUGGAUAUUGGAAAUUAUUUACGCAAAUUGCGUAUACCUAUAUAAAAACGCACAACGCUUUUUCAAAUACUUUUUUUUAUCCCCUCCUAAUUGUCUUCCAAACCACGAUAUAAUAAUUAUGAUAAGUCAGCAGAAAGUGAAGGCGAGAGAGGGGGAAAGAAAGUCCAGAAUAAGAGCGGUCUCGAUUUCAGUUCGCGAACGUCCAGAAUGA